UAUAUUUAAUCUUCAGAUUCGAUUAUUAACGUAAGAUCAAUUCUUCCAUGCCAUUACAUUUUUCUCAUACAGGACAUUUAGAAUAUAUGCAUAAGUGAGACGUUGAAGAGAUUGUAUAUGGUUUCUUUACAAGUUCUAUAUAUGUCAGAAAAUAUGGAAACUACAUUCUACAUGUAUAUGAUUUUACAAUUACUAGCUAACCGCCGUAUGUAUAGCAUAAAGCUUACAAGUUUCUUCCCUGGCAGUGGCAGCUCAUAAAUUACAUCCAACUACAGAUCAUCAGCAACAAAUACUUGUGACCAGCAACAGCAAUUAUUAGAAAACCUGCAGGGGAGACCUUUCUUUUCUUUUUGGCUUGGCGUAGAUGGAGCUCUUUGGCCAUUCAGAAGAUCAUGAAAAAUAUUGGACUGACCAUACAUAAUACACAAACUGUCAGCCAUAAUACAGAACUGGAUAUGACCCAUGAAUCCUCUUUAGGCGACUUUAUAACUAACAAAAUCAGUACCCAAGUCCAUUCCCUAAAGAAAAAGGCAAAUAAUAACAUGAUCAUAAAGAAAAGCCAACAUUUUUCUUGAAACAAACGCAUGGUACUGAACUCAAAUGCACUCAAGGGUCCCCCCAUCUCCUCUAUGGUUUUCUUUUUCGUAUGUGUAUUAUUAUGAUCAUAUAUGUGUGUGUGUGUGUGUCGGGGAGAUAGGGGGAGGGGGGGCUGCCCAUAAGUUGUCACUGAAACAUUUUCAGGGCUAUCAUCACUGAAUGUCCGGAGCAUAGGUGAAAAAGCAAGCAAAAGUAAAAUAAAGAGAAAGGAACAGUAGUAAUAUAGUAUUAGUAUCGCAAUGGGGAGAAAGUACUGUAGAAAGAAGAGAAGAAAAGGAGAGAGAGAUAGAGAAACGCAUAUUGCCGAGGGAGAGAGCGUGAUCCAGUGAAAAUCUAAGUGGUGGUCUGCACUGCUAAGGCAGCAUUUAAUUGCCUUUGGCCAAAAAUAGGGGAGGCUGUUGCUGCUGCCUCUGCCUGCCUUCCCUGCCUUUUGACUCGAAUCAGGUAGCCCUCCUCGUGUCUCUGUUGAACUUACUGUCUCCUUUCCUGUCCCAAUAAGACAACUAAGAUCCCACAGUUGGGAACUACAAUGACUCUAACUCCCAGUUUGGUUCAUCAUCCACUUUUGUACCACAUCACACGGUAGCCCAUCCCCUUUCUGAAGAAUCACCAUAAACUAUAGGGUAUUUUCUUUUUCUUAAUUAUGUUUCUGCUUCUUCCCUAGCCCAAUGGUUUUCAAAUUCUAUCAUUAAAAUCUCAUAUUUCAGACAACUUGCUUUUGUAUAGUACAAGUCUCGAUGAACCCCUAGGAGUACACAUAUCCCCAAGGCCAAACCACUACCACUGCCACCUCCUCAAGAAAUUUUACUAGUUAAGCUAUACCUUUGCCUUUGAUUCAGUUUUGGUUUGACUAUCGAGAAGUUAAUUACUGACAAUGAAGUUGGGAAACUCAGAUUGAUCCUGGUCUUCCAGAAACUCAUUCCUUUUGCAUUUCUAAUGGAAAUAUUUUAUUGAAUGAUUUUUUUUUUUUUGUUCUAUUAUUGUCUACCUAGAAAUCCAUAAUACAAUUGAAAAUUAGGAUAUCCUGACAAAAGUAGAAGAAAUUGCAGGAAAAAGUUUGCAAAUUUUAUGUCUCUACAAAAGACAGUUGAAAAGGCUGUUUCCACAAAAUGAUACUACAUAUUAGAGCACUGAUAGACAAAAAGAUACGUGCUUUCACAAUAGCUAUUGAGUGACAAUUAUUGCAAUUAUAAUAUAGAGGAAAUUAGACGAGAAAAUUUUAAUUAGUAGAGUUUCGUUUAUGCAGAUGACGUGCCUUAAUCAUGGUUAAAGAAAUUUUUAACAGUUACUGAUCACAGCAACGACGGAACUAUGAACCACUAAAACACUACACAGUGCUAAUACAACCCUUUAUUAUCAUCUCUAGCCUACAUGAAAAUGAAGAAACUAAUAUACCCAAUUUCAGAACGUUGCUAUUAAGAAACACAGUCCAUUUUGUAACUGACUAUUUUGGAUCCGUCAGACUAGAUCAACCCGCAUAGAGAGGCUCUGGCUCUACAAAAUGAAGUAAAAGAUAGCAAGUGUUAGCACAGAAGCAAUAAACAUGUUGGGAGGUGCUGAAAUGCCAUACUUCUCCCCUAGAGAAGCACCAAAGUUGAAUAAAAUUAGAAAUGGAAAAAGCAAGAUGGAAGUAGGUAGCUAUUCCCAUCUGAUUCAUUAGUUUCCUUCUUUUUAAUUAUAACUUUUUUUUUUUUCAAUUUUGAUUAUGCUAAAAUGCAAAUAAAAAAUAUUAAUAUAUUAUGAAGAUAUUAAAAAGAAUUUUAUGUGUUCAUUAUAUAUGUCAGGUUGGAGAUCCCCACCAAAAGAAAAACUUGCAUCAUUCAGGGCAGAUCACGCAAGGAAUGGGGAACCCUCCAGCCAACAGCUGAAUUAACUAAAACAUUCAAAGUAGAAUAAGGCUUCCUUCAACUCUGAAGCUAAUGUAUACAUUAUAUUAAGCGAAUUUCACCUAGAAAUCAAAGUAUAAAUGCGACUAUUCUUAGCAUAAUUGACCUUAACAUGUUUCCAGAGAACAGCAAACAAAUGAGGCUACAAUUGAAUGAUGGGUUAGUCAUUCACACCAAACAACUUAAACCAUCAUAUUGUGCAAACAUCAAUGCAAAAUGAAAGGAAUAGUUUAUUUUCUUGCCCAUGUUACACAUUAAUGUAACAUUAAAAGUGUUGAAAAUAUGGUUUGAGUCACCCAUGUGGAUCAACCUUGAUCCAAUAGACUUAAAAUCAGAAUCAAGAAUAAUCGCAUGAAAAGUCCUGUACAUUGCCAAAAGGUAGUAAAAUUCAAAAAUCAUGUACAUUGGUUAAAAGAUGUGAUCACAUGAAGAGAUGCAACUCUUCUUAAUAGUUACAUGCAUGAAGUAAUGCAACUUUUGACUAAAAGUUUGGUACACUUUGAGUAACUAUAUAUAAGAGCUUUACAAACUUUUUGUAAUGAGUAACAAAUGGACAAAUGAAUGUGCAUUUAUGUGUGUGCAAAUUUGGCCCGGUUCUUAAUCUUUGAAGACUCUCAUUUUAAACAAGUUGUGAAACAAUUUUUUUUUUUUUGGCAAAUAAGAUACACAUCUAGACUGUAAACUAAUCUAUAUAUUUCAUGUUAUUCAUGCAAUUAUAUGGUAGACUAGUGAUACAAAUAUGGUAGAGAUCUUAGGGUUGCAUGAACAUAGGUUAGGAUCUAUGUAUUUGAAUCCAUGUGUUGGGUUCUCUUUUUAAUUUUCCUUCAAAAAGGAACAACUUAUUUCCUAGGAGGGAAAGAAAUUUGAUUUCUCCAUUUACUUUUCUUUUCUUCGGCCAGGAAAGAAUUUUAUUAACAAAAACCAUUUAAUUCAUUUCCUUCAAACAUAUUUGCUCUCAAGGAAACAAAUGUUUAUCAUUCAAAUAGCCGCAUAACUGCAAAAUGAGAUUUUCAAUCAUGACUCAUGACAUAACAGUCUCAAUUUUACCAUCAAAGUUCCAUACCACAGGCACAUGCAUACAGGGAGAAAAAUGCAUACCGGUAACAACAAAGAAACCAAUAAAAAUCAGACAUUUUUUUUUUUUUGUGAAAUGAAACAAAGAAUAUGUGCAGGCGAGACUUACAGACAAGUUGAAAAACAUUCUAUCCAGUAAUAGUUUAUUCUCGGUAUUUAAGGGAGUGACCAUGAAAUACUUGGUUCUUUGAACAAGCAAAGUGGAGAUAAAAAGUUAAGGAAUAUCUUAAAAAUUAUUGAUAUGUAGCUUGCUCAGAUGUUAUGGUCCAUAUUUUUAACUGUCAGCUUAAAAUAUAAGGUUGUAUGGAAAAAAGGAAAAGACAAACCAUGCUUCUUCACUCACCAAUUAUCUGGUGCCCAAUUACAGCCAUCAGUAUCCACCACAUGCAAGCUGUAGGCAUGCCUUGAUUUUGAAGAAUGAUUCUCAAAACUUUGAUGAAUAAGAUCACCAUGAAUGACGACCAAAGAUCCAGUUUUCACUUCAAUAGGCACAAAAUCCUUUUGGUCAUAAGAAGGGAAAGGCCGAUCAAAAUACAUCCCUUGUCCACUUGUAAGAAACCUUCUGAUCAGACCAUUUUUAUGAGAUCCGGGAUUCUUAUUGUUGCAUCUUCCAAGGCCAGCCACAGCCCUGUGCAAGUUGUUGGUUCAGUAUACAAAAAUGAGUUGUCCUGUUGAGGCACUACUUCACCUCCAAUACCUGGUUGCUGUUAAUAAAGAUCUCACAGGUUAGAAAAAAGCAACAAAUUAUAGUUGAAUAUGUAAUUCCUCCCAAAAAUGGGGGAUCCUUAGCUUCAGAACCAACAUGAAGAUAACAAGCCAUUUUGAAUCCUUCAGGUUCACUGUAUCAAUCUAUAAAAGUAUCUGAAUUAUUAUCCUCUAGGCAAUUUUCUUUAAGGCAGGUGUCUUUCAGUGUCAGAAAUAUCCUAAAUACAAAUGAGAGAGUAUUUCAAAGUAUAUCAUAUAAUAUCCAGUCACAAUGAUUAUGCCAUGUAAUAUAGCACACACAUUAUGAAUCCUUCCAUGGAAGGUCUGAAUCAAAUUGGGAUUUAUACAAUAAGAUGAAUAGCUAUAGGCACCCAGCAGGGUUUUCAUGUCCGAUGCAUUUCUUACCUUGGUCUAAGUAGCCAAAAAUCCAAAAAUCUCAUGAACUGAAAUUAUAACAUACCUUAAAAAUUUUUUAAAGACAGGGUCAAGCUCAUGUAAGGCUGCAUAAGUAUACCACUCGUAUUGUGAAAACUAACCCCAAAGAAAACUGCGUAUCACAGUCAUGACUGCAAUUGGAGUGAAUUUACCCAGCUCCAGUAGUAUUUUAUGACAUUAAGAAUUAGUAUAGCAGCAACAGCAUACCAUGACCAACUUUGUUAAUAGAGAGUUGCUUUGGUUGCUGGAGGUUUCCAUCCUCCCCAAAUGCUUUCUCUUCGAAGAAAAAAGAGAUAUUCUCCGCGCUUUCGAAGAAGUAAUUGUCAGUUGAUUGUUGCAGAUUCUUGGUAGAGAAAAUUGAAGCGGUGGAGGAGCAGCCAAAAUCAUCAAGCAAUUACUCCAUUCUCUUCAUCAUGGCAUCGAUUUCUUCAGGGCAAAUAAAGAUAACCUUGAGAGUUGAAAAACUGAAGCUGCUCGGAAGUGAGAUUUCCGUUUGUCCCCAUGGCGUUGGCUCUUUUCCGUAUGUGUCUUCCGGUGAGAGUUAU
This 5242-nucleotide unclassified non-coding RNA is filed under the name Hevea brasiliensis (rubber tree). The record is from RNAcentral. Lineage: Eukaryota; Viridiplantae; Streptophyta; Magnoliopsida; Malpighiales; Euphorbiaceae.